Molecule: long non-coding RNA, 24448 nt
Filed under: Volvox carteri
Lineage: Eukaryota; Viridiplantae; Chlorophyta; Chlorophyceae; Chlamydomonadales; Volvocaceae
Description: long non-coding RNA (VCAR_LNC003463)
Source: RNAcentral
ACAAUAUCUGCACUGCAACACGUUCUAUUGGCGACGUGAAGUGGGUCCCCCACCACUAUUUGCGUGGUGGGUAGCCGGUAGGUAGGUAGGUAGGUAGGCGGCUCAUUGCUAAUUGCUGAGAGCUAUUCAACGGUCACCAACGGUCACUAACCGAACACCCCCUUGGGGCAACCUCAGCGCUAUGACCACGGCCAUGUGAGAGGAGACCUGAGAGGUCCCCAUGCGCCGCUUUUCCCCCUCCCCACCCUCGGGGCGGUUCAGCUACCCGGGGUACCGAACAAAGUGCUGCUCGGGUGCUGCUUCAGGGGGGUAGCUCACCCCCCCUACCAGACGAGGACGGUCACACCAGUGGAUAACGUGCAGGAGGUGGGUUAGUUAAUGGGGCUGAGCUUCCAGCUACCUCAUUGCUUCGGAACCCAGCAGUUUGUGGUUCUUUAGGCAGUUGGUCGGCAGUUAAUUCUUCAGUUUCUUGCAUCGUAUGAAUUCCCCCUCGCCGACCACCCCCCUUUCCCUUCCCAGGAUGCAGGAUACCGAAAGCGAGCGAAACGAACAAGCGGGGCCCGGUCAUCACCAAACUGCAGGCAAUCCAGGUAAAAGCCCCAGGGGAGAGGAGGCUGACCCUCUCGGCCCUGUGGCUGGCUCAGAAAGCACAUCUCCCAGGAACAUCCUCUGUCGCAGAAGUCUGACAGGUGCGGCUCGGAUGUCCGGCACCGUACAGGCGCCGUACUGCACUCGCGGCUCCAUCCCUCACCUCGUCCUCAGUCCAGUUGCAAGAUGUCACCAAGGCGGUUCUCAGACUCGCACGCACUUUGUCGCACUCCUGAAGGCAUUGAGAGGAGGUUUACAACCCCGUAAGCCGUACAAGAGAGUACGAAAAGAUGCCGUGACGUGUAACGGCCAUUCCGUACGAAAGCUGCAGCACCUCGAGGUCCUUCUGCAGCUUCCGAUAACGCUCAAGUCGUCCAUCUGCCUUCUGGUCUUCCAACUGGGCUUGAAGUUUUCGUAUUGUUGCUUGCAGUGACUUGAUGGCGUCGGGACCUGCGGCAUGUCAGCUGGUUCGAUUACUGGUACUUAGCAACCGACGUUGCCCAUGUAAUCAGGCCCAUGUAAUCAGGCCCAUGCAGCCCGAGAGCAUUACCUCCUGCAAUUAGGUAUCCAGUGAAAAGGUCUGCUGCGCCGUGAACUGUUACUACUGUAUGUCGCGUCGCUUCGCGCCAGCGUUGCAGGUCUAGUGUUUCUCGUGGCCGCAUUCGUCUCAAUCCGAAGGACAGGUUUGGAUUAUGUGGUGUCCUAGUCAUCGGCAUGCCCUUGCAGGCGAAUCAAAGCUUGGCGACAAAUUUAUCGCCGAAAGCGAGGUAAAUUAUUGCAAAACAGCGCAUGUGGUAUAUAUUUGAAGUAUAACUUUAGAGCAUUGGGUUUGCAAGAGGAAGAAGGCUUUGCUAGAAAGACGUUUUUUAAAGUUCGUCGGAUCCGCUCGACAGUUGCAAUUGCAGAUGCACAACCUUUGGCGUCUUGGACCCAAAAAAUUUAACUUGAUUCCCAUGUUUUAUGGCCCCUAUAAUAAAAACGCUCAAGUCAAAGAGGUGUAUGUGUUGUCAAGCCGUACUGGCGCAUUGUUAUCCCUGAUGCUGUUACAGUGCCGCGCCCAACCCGUUCCGUUCACAAUCUGAAGUGGCCUCGUCCUCCAGUUGACCCCAAAGCCUUCAUACCCCAGGAGAAGGUUCUGUGCAACGCAAGCGGUGCAGCGUGCCCUUCCGCACGUGCCGCGUGUCCGUCUCUUAAAGAACUUGUCGGCCCAUGUGUGCACGAUCACGCAUGGUGACUUGUAGGCACAGGUACGUCCACUCCCGUGUCGACCGACUCGCGGAAACACAACGUCUCAACCUGAACAGACGCCUCACCAAAACACCAAUCCGACCCGAUCGGACAACGAUGUAAGCCACUGCCAAGUUUCUUACACGCCACGCGAUUACCAGCCCCCAUCAGUAACUCCAACUCCAACCCACCUCCCAUCAACGCAAGACAGUCCACACACAAUACAAUAACUAAAUCCCAAAACCACCCUCUGAGGCAAGGUCGCCUCCCACGCACUGGACACUCCCACGCAUUCCCUUUUCCGCCUUUUCCCCCCUUUCCCUGGUCCAGCUCAUUCCGUGCUCUGCUGCUGCUGCUGCUGGUGUGGGCCGCAAGGGCGGAGCCGCACCCCGUGAGAGGAGAUCACUUGAGCGAGUUGUAGAAGAGGAUGAGGAUGGUCCCCACCACCAGCAUCACGGGGAUGGCGCUCACGCCGUACAGCACGCCGUACCCCACCCAGCCGGGCAGCAUGUCCGUCAUGGACUGCGGCUUCUCUCCCUUGCGGAGCUCGUCGCCCAUCACAUACGGCUUCACGACCGUGUCACCUGCGAUGUGCCCGAAGGGGCAAAUGGGGAGCCGAGUUGGAAGAGCAGGAGGAUGAGGAUGAGGAAAGAGUGGGACGGCCCCCAAUAGGAGGCGGGGGAGAAGGUCGGAAACUCAGUUAGGGGAGGGGAGGAGGCAAACAAAGGAAAAAAUCGGAUUGCACGGGGGACUCAGGUGCAGCGGUGGCGGCGGGGCGGGAAAGCAAGAAGCGACUUUGUGUUGACUGCGGGACGUGUGCGACGGCUGGCGAGUGUGUUGGGAGCCGGUUGGGAGGUCCUGAGGUCCUGAGGUCCUGAUCCGCGGGGUGGACCAGGGGUGGGGGCACCGUCCAGUCCAGGAAACUCAUUGGGGCAAUCUGGCGGAGCGGUGCGCGGGGCCAGCCCCGAGCACAGUGGUGUGGCCGCCAGCACAGGACUGCAACUCUCAUCCCCUCUCCUCCUCCUCCUCUCCUUCCCCAACAUCCGAAACCAAGGUAUGCCGCCUGCUGCCGUACACUGCCACAACUGCAGGAAACCCGCUCCUCCCUUCACAACCCCCCUACGGCCGUACCACCAAAGCGAUGGCCCCCGGGCCCCGUCAUGCCGGUCUCCCCAGCCAUUCCCAAACAACACCCCCACGCCGCUACCCGUUCCCUCCCCUCCCUCCCUCCCUCCCUCCCGGACCCACCUCCCAUGAGAGCUGCGUAGUCGGAUGCGCUCGGCUUGCUGCCGGUGCUGGUGGUGGCGGCCGCCGCCCUCUCCGCCGCCCCCUGCUGGCUGCUGGCGACUGCGGCGGCGGCGGCUGCCGGCAGCUCCCCGCCCACCUCCAGGAAAGGCCAGUUGAGCAUUUCGUCGUGCAGGCACUUGAGGGCUAUCCGGUCAUUGGGGAUGCGCCCCUCGCCGAUAUCCACCAGGGCGGCGGCCAUCUCGUCACGGGACACACCGCGCUCGUCCUAGGGGGGUGGCGGCAAAAUGUCAUUGUCGGGGAGGAGGAGGAGGAAGAGGAAGGGAAGCUGUCGACGAUAGCAGGGAAUGAAGGGUUUGAAGGAGGUGUGUGAGGAGGUGUGCUGAGGAAUCUGGGAUACGAAUGAAUGAGGCCCGGUUCGGGCACAGCAAACCCCUACCCGGGGCGCGUUAUCGCGAGACACCCCCUUCCGGAUCAUCCUGGUGUCUGAACCACGCGGCCAUGGUGGUGCUGAUGGUGAUGGAUGUCGUGCAUGAGCACGAAAACACCGACUGGGAAUGUCGCAGCUGUGAGGCUGCCAAUCAGUGAGUUCGACAGACUGGCCGUCAUCGUCACCGCUGCAGCGCACAGUGUAACAUGAAAUGGCCCCGGGGCCCCCCCUGGGCAAUACCAACGUACCGAGCUUCGAGAUCCUGUGCCUUCCAACUCGCGCCGUCAUAUAUCCGGGUUGGCUCCUCUUUGAGGUACUGCCUCACCCUUGCUGUACUUGCGCACGUGCACGUGUGCAUCCGCUCACCCACUACCCAGGCUUCGGUCCGCAGCCCCGACCUUCCCGUCUCACCCUGUUUAUGUGUGUGCGACUGCGUGUAUGGCGGUGCACACACCUGUUCUCCUUUCCCGCGCAGUCCCUGAGCCCCAACCGCGGAGGGAGCCUCCUUCAGAAAUAUACCAGAUCUUUUGGUAUUUUGGUACCUCCACUCUCCCUCUCCCCGGUUUUUUAACCCCUCACCCUUACCUCCUUAUCCACCCCCUUCUACUAACCGCCUACUACCUCCUACCCACCCGGUGUUUCACCCCUCACCCUUCCCCCCCCACACACACACACACGGAAGCAUCACCUCCAUGUCCGCCGCGCGGCGCUCCCGAGCCCGCGGGUCCUCGAUGGAUACGAUGAGCUUCACCUCGUUGAACGACAUGUCCCUGGUGCGCUUCAGGGUUUUGAGAACCUCGAAGAUAUCGCUGCAGUAUUUUUGCGCGAGCUGCAAAUUUGUUUCAGGCGAAGGAUAGGGUGAUAGGGAGGGCAGCCGCAGGGGAAGAUAAGGGAAAGACAGCUGACAUGAGGAUGCUGUCGAUACAGAGAGUACAAAUGCCGUGGGUAUCGGGGUUCUGCGUGUGCUGCGCCGUGCUGUGUCCAUUGUGGGAACACCUCACGCACGCACCUCGUCACUGACGACCUCGCCACCGAUGACAGUGUCCACGCCCUUGGUGCGAACGAAGGCAGCUACAAAUCAGAGGGAUUUGAAGGGUUCGGCGUCAUAAAACCUUGCGAAUGCAGUAAACCUGGUGCCUUGGCCGCGCACCUCCGCUCUCAAUCUCCGCCUGACGCCUCAUGAAGAGCUCCACCUGGGCUUCAAGAUCAACCUCCUCACUUGUUGCCCUGAGUGAACCAUGUGUAAGAUUUGACACUACGUUACGAGCGGUUCACGGUCUGGCGAGACCAGUCAGCGCACCUGAUGCGAUGAACAGGCCGGCGAGUUCCAACGAAGGGCCGCCGGUAAGACUUUGAAGUACAUCUUGGUAGGCCGCAAGGGCGGCAGACGCCCUGCAACUGAGCACUCAUGGUACUGUCGUGCGAGGAUUUAGAUACGAUUGAACGCCAGGUUGCAGUUAACCUGCGUUAUAAUCAGUGACAGCUAUUAUCGCUUUCAGCAGGUGCUCAUAGGAACAAGAUAAUUACAUGCAGCCCGGCUACUACUGUGGAUCGUUAGCAGAUGUACGAAAUACGACGAUGUAUUAGUGUGCAUUCGUGAGUUAAAGCUAUUAUAAUUGAUCUCACUGUCCUAAGAAUGUGAUAAUGUUGCUUAGUUAUGCAAGAGCCCUGAUAACCAUGGGAAGGACCCUUAUGCUUAUACUCUGUUUGGCGACUCGCGCAAUACUGUACACCUCGGCAGGUGCAGCUGAAUACUCCGACGUUCCGGUAUCUGUGGCUAUCAAGGGCGAAGGUGCUAAUGAUAAUUGGACUGUUCGUUAUGUCGGUAGGCAACGCCAACGGUUGCGUCCCCCCGGUUUCCAUGCAGAUGCCUAUGCGCAAUUGAAGGAGCUGUCUAAGCGUGAGACAAUCUUACAAACUAUAUUUGGUCAAGACUGUUACUCUCAGGCAUUGCUUCAGGCAUGUUGUGGGCAAUAUGGGAUUUGGAGACGAGGCGUCGCCUUGCGUCGCUCGGGUUCGUUGCCCAAGUCCUUCGUUGCCUCGAGACGAGCAACGAAUUUAAGAUUCGACACAUUAUGAGCCUAAAACUACAGUGAUAAUAUAAUAAUAUAAUAAUAAGUAUGUUUGGCCUUCGCUGAGCACGGCUACAUGCUCUCCCCAUGCAGAUAGACCGCAACUGCAACCAAAUGACGACAGAUCAGCAAUACAAGGUAGCGUCUGACGUUGCUGCUUGCCAAGGUAGCCUCAGCCGUUCCAGCGUUGUCUAAACCCGUUUUUUGCGCGCCGCUUUCGCAGUUGGCGCAUGCGAUGAACAUUUGCUUCCUGACCAGCAACGGCCACACCGGUUACAAAUGCACCGAUCGUAUGAGUGCAAGUGAAUGUUCAAAAAACCUUGAUAACCGGGCAUUCACUUCCUACAACAUGUUCUUCGCCAACAUCCACAGGUAGGGCAAGCAACUCCAUGGCGCUGCGCUAGCCAGCGCUGACUGCUGCUGUCCAGGGGACACUAUCCCAGGGAACCAUUCCGGGCUUCCCUCCCUCCACGCCACCGAAGGCUUACCUACAAUAGUUCCAGAGCCCCAGCUCGACGCCAACAGGGAAGCCUGCUGCCCUUCGUAUUGGAAAGUACAGAAUUAUAGCCCUGAGGGGGGUAAUUACGGCGGUGAAACUCGAACAGUAACGCCCGGUCUAAGCAACGAGAUGCCACGUAGAAAAUCGACAGAUGAGCAUGCCAUGUGGUGGCACCAAAGCCAUUCUGUCUGCGAAAAGUAUCUUAAUUCAUAAGUCCCAAUAAGUCUCAGCACUUACCCGUCGGCCGCCCGCAGAUCACAGCUUGCCAUGCCGUCUCCCCAUCCCGGCCCCAUCCCCCUUUCAGCCAGCGAGCUCCAUGCCAACCGGGAAGUGCCACAGAAUGCAAUCCCGGGGCGGGCGCCUGCGGAUUUGCAUUCACUUGCCAGCACACCUAAGCCCUCCACCUUUCUGCACCCCGCCAAGCACACGCAUGUCCAUGGCGGCUGCCCACUCCUCCCCUCCACGCAGCAUUUGUCUCUACGUCUCUAACCGGGAGUUCGAGCGGCACACGUCACAGCUGCUCAACAAGCUGUACGAGGGAGCAGGUGGGGCUCAUGAAUCAGCUGUACGCCCAGCCCCGCUGCCGCCGCCCUGCGUGGGGUGCCGUGUGUGCUAAUGCGUUCUUGGUGGGUGACACACGCACAUGCGUGUAUGGAGGUAUUUAUAGGCAAUGCACCUGCGGUGCCUUGUCCAACAACAUACAGGGGCGGCCCAGAACGUGCUGCAUGGUGUCGUUCAGGGCCUGCAGGUGCACCACGAGCAGCAGCUGCUGCUGCAUCAAGGCCUAUCGCAGGUGGGUGAGCCGGGGAGCUGGGAGGAUAAUAGGUGUACAUUGCCGGGACCCUGCCAUUCGGCUAUCUGCUCCAUCGACGCCAUCCCCUGUCCAGUGUGUGGGAGCGCAUUGCGUAGGAGUGGGAACGGGGCGGCAGCACCGCUAUUUUGACUGAUUGAACUGACAUACACGGUACUGUCGUGCGCCCCUGCGCGACGGGCGCGGGCGGGCUGCUGGCAGAUGCGUGAGGAGCAGAGCGGCCUGGCGGAGGGGCUGCAGGAGGGGCUCCGGAGGCUGAGAACCAUCCAGGGACAAGCGGACACUUUGCAGGAACAGGUCAACAAAACGUUGUCCAUGGAGGUGCGUUAGGAGCUGCGGAAGUGCCCAGUCCGGAAUCAGUACCCGGCUGCAGCCAGCCUGUCCCCUAGUGGCAAGGUUGUACUCGUGACCUGCCGUGUGCGCAGCAACGGACGAGGCCGCAGUAGCCGUAUUUACCUGCCCAUCCGCUCUACAAAGUACAGCUUUGAGAUACUUGUUAGGAAGAAUGAGCUCUAUCUCGAUUCGAGUCUGCAAAUGUGGUAUAUCUUUACAUGAACGUGGGAGCCGAUCCCACGCUUCCAUCGUAUCAUGCACCAUCCUGGAAGUCCGAUGUACUCCUACCGCGGCCCCAGCCAUGGUCACGUGCCCAAGAUGUGCGCGCCUCGCCCUCUUCCUGACUGCAGGAGGAGCUGUCUCGGCGGCAGGGCGACCUAGCCCUCCAAAUGGGUGCUCUGGAGCAGAUGGAGCAGCAGCACGCGGCCGCUGCGGAGCUCCGGUGGGAGCAGCUGCUGCAGCGGGCGGCGCACAUGGAAGAGCGUCAUGCGCACUACGAGGCGCUGCAGGAGGCGCUGGCGGCCAAAUCGGGACAGCUGUUGCAGCAGAGCGGCCAGCUGCAGGGUGCCAUUGAGACAGUGCUGGUAGCCCAGCAGCGCACCAGCUCGCUGCUAGGGAGGGUUCUGGGGGGCCAGUGGACACUCAAGGUGAGGAAAGCGAAACAGAGUGCGUGGGGCCGUAGUGAGGGUAAUUGUGCGGCCGCUGUCUGCGAAGUGCUUGGUGGGACGACGCUGCGUUGUGUUUUGUUGUAUAGCAUGGCUUGUCGGAAUCUGUGGUGGAUGGAUGACCCUCGGGCUCCAUAUGGGAAAACGUUUGCGCGAACAUGUAUACGGACAUGGUCAUACGAACCAUGGGUGAAAAAAUCUACUCUUACUGCAGUAAACGCAAAAACCUGUGGUUUCAAUAUCAAUUGGAGCCCGUCAUCGCCCACCCUCCCCAAACCCCGGAACGAACCCCAACUGCCAUCACUGGUGCUGCAGGACCUGAGCUUCUACGCUGGUGCAGCAGUCUGCAUCUUGGUGCUGACGGGUCCUGUGGCCCUACAGACCUCCCGGCUACCCCUACUUGCACUGCUGUUCAUGACUGCCGCCUGCGAGCGGGCCCUGCGGCAAUACAUGCAGAUAUGGCUGCCUCUGCUGGAAGGCGCUGUGGUAGGUAUGAAGGGGCAACCAAGCAGACGAAGAAAAUAUAGCUCUUCGGAGACGUGCCAUAGCGCCUGUCCAUGCGGACGUUGCCUCACCUGACAUGGAUCUGCAGCUGACAGCGGUUUCAGCGUAUCAGAUUCGAAGUCGAAGUGAUCAUACACCGCAUCGCCUCCUGCAGCCAUUACUAUCCCUACGGCCAGCAUCACAUGUCGGUGUCAUCCCAAUGCUAGGAGGUUCGUAUCACCACGUCUCCAAACCGCCGCGUUAAGGUGCACUCGCCGGCAAACAGGUCGCUUAUCACGACGUCCUCGCAGCCCUGAGCCCCCGCACAACACCCUGUCCGCUCCCGUUGCUCCCGCCACACAGGGCUUAUCCCCCAUGCCGUCCUUCAUCGGCAACAUGGAGCAGGCGGGCUGGUUGUUGCGCCUCCUCAGCGGCCUGGCAGGAUGUGUGCUGCUUAUGCGGCGCCUCCUGGCCACCCGGCAACGUGAUGCGGCUGAUCGCCGUGUGCUGGAAGACAUACAGCUUCAACUGGAGCAUCUGGCGGUGCAGCAGGCGCUCCUGAACAGGCACCUCAUAGGGGCCGACGGUCUGGCGACUGCCACCUGCGGACUCGACGGAGUGAAGACUCGACAGACGGGGCCACAGCCGUCGCAAUUACAUGGCCAUCUCGCCAAGCCUAGAAACCCUGCAUUACCUAUUGCUGCGCCGCCAACGCCACUGGUGACGCCGAUUGCGGCCCAGAUGGCUAGCGGCCCUCAUGUGCCUUCCCAAUGGACACCUUCCCAACUCGGCAACAGCUGCCAGACCAAGGAGGCAGCUCCCCAGGCAUGUCAGCUAACAUCAUACUCGGGCCCUUGCCAUGACGCCCUCGUAAGGCACAGCGAAGAAGCCGUGGUGGCAACGUCACCGGGACAACAGCCAGUCACCGCGCCCACCACGAGCCAUUGCACAGCCCAACGGCAUGGAAAGCAUGCUGGACGUGCCGGUGCACUUACGGCCACCGGGGCUACUAAACGUGGCCCUAGCUGCAGCAAGCGCAGGCGCGAUCCCGAACCAGGUCUGCGUGGGAGGGUUACCUCUAAACGAUUCGCUGCACAUGCAGACCUCUGAUAAGUAACUCCCGUGGGAUCCGACAUGUGCGAACAGCUGCUGACUUUAGCUGCACCGUUUGCACCUUAUCGCCCCCUUGCAGAGGACACCCAGCACCGCGCGCACAGGACACGCAGCAAGCCGAGGCCGUAACAAAGCAAGCCGAGAUAACUCACAAUUGAAAGUGGAAGAGUUGCUGGCAGACGAUGGUCGUCUAUAAUAACGGCGGCCAGACUGUUUGUGUCACAGCAACUGUGUUUUUGCUUACAACGGCCUGGAGAGCUGUCUUUCCUCCCUGGUUUCCCGUGACAACUGAUCUGUAAGCGCGCCAGCGAUUUAAGAGGCCGGGAAUGCAUCAACCAAGUAGGCAUGUAAAUGUAUAAAGCCAUGUACCCAUUGGCGAUGCCCGGCUGAACCAAUCGCCAAGGCUAUGAGCGCAACCAGCAUGGCAACGUGACGCAACGUAGCACUACACCAGGGCUCAUCUCUCCCGGUCCGACCCCCGCUCGCGAUGUCGCGAGUCCCGAGGCUGCUGCCCCGAAUGGCGCUCCCGACCCCGACUCCGACUGCGACUGCGCUCCCUACCCCGUCCUUCUUCCCCGUCCAAGCCUCUUCCCACUCUGCGCUCGCGGCCCCUGUCCCCAUCCCUUCUAGCUCCGCCCCCGCGACCCGGGCUAUCUCCUCGGUCCUACCCGCGGCCUUCGUCCCGGCGUGAUGACCUUCUGCCCGGGGACUGAGAUCCUCGACGGCCCUGACGGCCCUCACCGCGGUACUCGUCCCCGUCGGCGCACCGCUUCGUGGCAUCGCGCCAGUCCACGUCGUACCGCCCACCGCGGGCGCUGCUAGGACCAGGGCCUGCCGCCUCGUCCCUAGGCCCGACUGCCGCGUGUCGAGGCGGCGGUCGGGGAGGACCAAAGGACGGCCCGGCCAAUCCUUCCCGGUCUGGUUCCCGUUCCCUCUUUCGCCCUUUUUCCCAACCACGGUCUUCAUCCACUGCUUGACCCACAUCGCCGCGGGCGCCGUUGCGGCGAAUAGGCGGCUCCUGGGCGUCGUUCCCCAGCUCCGUUUUUACCCGUGCAUCCGCGUGGCGCGACUUCUGCGUAUCCAAGGGGCAGGCAGCGAGCGUUAGGCGUCAUUACGAACAGUCCAGAUUCGUCCGCGCGUUUUGAUGGCCAGCAUUUCAUUCCAGCUCAUCAACAACCCCGCAAUAUUCCUGGCCAGCCUUGAAAAGCGCCGGGGAUGUAAGGCAUCCUACCCAUCAUCGGCUGCCGCAGUUGUGUUUCCCCAGGCCGAUUGAGCCAGAUCUCAUAACGUACAGAGCAGAGGUCCAAUAUGCAGCCCAACAUUUCGGGGAUCAUUCUCACAUGGCCACGUGUGUAAGGCGAUGUGGGUACGAUGUAUGUGCACGUGCAUGAGGGAACCAACUUCACGGCUCCAUCUCUUCCCAAGGUGACAACGGUAGACCCUGCCCCACCUGCUUGGCAGCUUCUAGCUGUCGUGCCUCCUCCAUCAGUGCAAAAAUAGAGCCUGCGGCUGCCCACGGUUCUGCUGAUGGCUGCUGUUGCCGACCUGCUGGCGUGGGACUGUUGCCGCGGCGCUGGGAACCUCUGCCCCCUACAUGUGACAUGGAGCCCACGUCAAUUGGGUAAUUGAGCGAUUAGGAGGGAAUUAAUUAAAUGGGAGGGAGAAGAUGUGCCCAGCCGGGUACCUGGUCCAGUGUCUUGCCGCUCCGCUGACUGUCGCCCCGCUGUGCGAUCUCCUGCGCCGUUCUCCUCUUCAUCCUCCCCGACUGCGUUGGGGUCUUCACCCUCAACCUGUGGGCAGGGACCAAUUACAGCGAGUUGCUGGGCAAGACCGGCUUCUCUAGUAUGCUUAGUCCUUGGCAUGCACCAAACUACAGCCUCUGGCUUUCAGCUUCGCCAACCGUACCUCCGCCUUGCGCUUCUUGUAAUUGUCAACAUGCUCAACACGGAUCGUCCGGCCGACUACCUUUGCCCCGUUCAGAUUGUCGACCGCGAGAAUAGUGCUCCGCUGGUCCUCGUACGCGAUAAAUGCAAACCCCUUCGAUUUUCCCGUAUCCUUGUGUCGAAUGAGGUUUAAGUCGACAAUUUCUCCGUAUUGUGAGAAAACAGCGAGCAAGUCUCCUUCCGUCAACUCGUAGUCCAGACCACCGGCAAACACGUAAGCCGAAUGCUUAAACUGAGCGUGCCAAGAUGCCGAAUCUUGUAUUCCUGCUUCAAUUUCGCGUUUGGUGGCCUUUUGCGUGUUCUUAAUCUGCAGUGCGCAUGGGUAGGGGGUUCAGCCAAUCCUGGAAUCAGAUAUUAUACAAUCUAACUAAUAAACAUUAAAAUCUACCUGGGUUAGGGGAUUCAUCCUUCUGUGUGCAACAGGGUGCGUACGAAAGUGUCAACCAGUGUUAGUGAUUCUGCAAACCGUUCCUCUACGCACCCUCUGAGAACAUUGCGGAGUUCCAAUUGGUUGCCCAGCGUGGAUUACACAGGCACACAGCACCCUCAACGUACAACACGUAAGGCCCUUCUCCUUCCACUGGUUGUGAUAAAAAAUUUACUCUGCACAUGACUUGAGAUUGUGUUGCCUAAAUUCAGUAGCAUAAGAUAUAUGUGUAGAAUUUAUCAUAGGGGAUUGUGUCGAUUGUUGUCAGGGCAAAGUUUGCUGUCUCAAACCGCCUGUCAAAUCCUUAUACGCGACUACGGAUUGCACACACUCUCUAUGCCUGCGCCGCCGCCUGCCGUAAGAGUUAUUAGAGCGGCAGCGGCGGCGGCGGGGACAGGUCUUUUUUGAGAGCGAGAAGCCGGCCUUUUGCGCGCGCCCGAAAACCUGGCCCUAGCACGCACAUCCCGAAACCAUGAGGGUGUCUGCCUUGUUUUUUGACAAGGAUGCACGGUACCCGUGCCUGCUAAGCCCUUGCAAGGUUUGGGAUGAUGCGCUGUCAGAGGCGGUCUCGGGCCCCGAGCUCAAAGUCUACUGCUACUGGUACAUAGCGCGAGCGUGAAUUGCCAUUGUUUGUUCAUACAUGCAUUUGUCCUGCGUGUUUGCUUGGGUUGUAUGUGCUGUUUGGGGCGUUGUUUGGCUGGCACAGACGUUUCUCUACGAAGUUUGGGCCAGCCCUAUGCAUCCGCAUAGUUGAUAAUAGCGUGCACAUCUGAAUUUCCGCGCGUAGGGAGAGCAAAAAAGUCUCGACGUUGCUCGCACUCCAUAUCAGCAGCGGAGGUAAGUAUAGUAGCUGAGGGCUCUGUCCCAGGCAACAUAAAAGGAUACGUCAGCCAGUCUUGUCGCUUGCCUACACAGGACAAGUUCCUGACCUGAGACUGCUCCCGCUCGACCGUGCUAAGGAUCCCAGGUAUCGCUUUGCCGCCUAUGCCACGUUAGGUUGUCGCUAGUACUUAACUUCACGCAAACCGGAUUUGCAGUGCGUUCAAGCAAUUUGCGGACGAGCAUCAGCAUUGCCUUGAAGAUAGAAAGGCAAUCGUCGUCAAGAUCAAUGAGACGCGCGAGUUACUUCUCGCGCCAGUCUUCUCCAUUGAAGGUGACGACUUCUCUCAACUUGGACAAGAGCUUCCGUUGGAUGCUUAUUUCAUUUCAUGUCCUUGUGCUUUACACCUGUUUUUGUCAUCUUGUCUACCGUUUGCGACCUGUCAACUUUCUAGUUCCUCCUCCAUUGCUCUUCGACAGGGCUCUUGUCGGCUGCUUUCCACAUCGAGGGAUCACCAUGGAUGGAGAUUCUCAUUCCCUCGUUCCUUUAGAAUUUAUCUUUAGCACAUAGCACAUAUGCAGUCCACUAUCACCGUUACAAGGCCGUACAAUCAAGUAGCAGUUUGGUAACAAAGCGAAACGCCAACAUGUUCUACAAAAUCCAAGUUCCAUUAGUGCGCAAUAAACUUUCUGAUUGAAGGUUUUGUGACUGUUAGAUGAAAAGAUGACCCACGGGUCGCAAGCGACUAAAUGCCUUAGCACAUUUGCGAGGAUCACCAGCGUCUUCUUCCACUGGCUCUUAAAGCACACGCAAAGCAAGGCGACGGUGUGAAUAUCCUUUUCGGUCUCAGCAUAUGAUAAUCGCUGCCAUUGCAUGCCUUAAACAUAGCACGCCAAUAUGUUUAUCUUUACAGAAGCGAAGCUUCAACUGUGUUUUCUGGACCCUUUUUCAGCGUUUAGGCUUACAGCGCAGCUCAGACUUCUCGCACAUCCCUAAUGCCCCCAAACUACAGAUGACGGCACCAAGUGCCCGGUUUUCUGGGGUUACCUCCUGUACUUCGGCGUUGCAUCAGCCGUAUCGUUGAUGCUAGACAACAGCCGAAUGGCUGUGGUUCUUGAUCUGGACGAAACGCUGUUGGUGGCAAACUCGAUGUCGACGCUUGAUUCGAAGAUAGAGGUGGCGCGCAAGACCAGGUAUGGGCAUGCCACGUUCCAAAACACACAAAGUACACGCCCCUUGGCUACUGCAUCGACAAAGCUGCACCAAUUGCUGAGGCGCUACGCUACGGCAUCCUCAGCAAACUCUUCACAAAACACAUUCUUACGGGGCAAUGUGAGACGCGUUUGGGCUUGACUCUGGUCACAUAGUUGAAAGCUCGACAAUCGUCAGAUCAGAAUGAAUACGCAGACGUGCACACAUACACAAUAGGUGAAUUGCGGUUCACUCGAACGACGCUUACCCUCGUUGCUCUUUAUCACACCAAUAGCCGCACAUGUCUUAAACAUGUACAUGCAUUGAACAAGUACCUCGCAAGCAAGCACGACAUGAGCUGUAGCGAAGAACCCGCCGGUCCUGCUUCACGUACGCUUGACACUGUUGUGAUGGUGCUGUAUCUGCCCGGCGCGGGAGACGGGGGGCAGCUGUCACAAGCCAUGCAGAGCGUGAAGUAUUGACCAGGGCUGCGGCUUCUGUACAACAACUCAGUAGUGUCAUUACUAACUUGAUGCCGCUGUACUUUGCCCUCGCGCUCUCACGUUACCCUUUGAGCUCAAAGGCGUCUUAAAGCUGUGGAACUGCGGGAGCUGCUCAGCCAGGGGGUCACGGUGGACAGCGAGGAAGCUGCGCGGCUGCGGGGCGCGGAGUCCUCCGCCGCGCGGGAGGAGGAGCUGCUUGCGUCGGACCUGGAAAUGCUGCGUCAGUUUGCAAGCACGAGCACCGUCACCUUGAACGGCGUCUCGCACAAGGCGAAGUGAGGCGGGGAGGCCCGUCGAGUCAUUCGUAGCUUCCCCUGCCUGCGGGCCCCUGUUUUGUAUUCCUGUGAGCUGCUGUAAAACCCGCAUUGGUUGCAGUGUCGGCGUCUCAAUGUCACGUGUCGACGGCGGCUCGCCCCAGCCAUUGCUUGCAGCUUGGCACUGUUCUCACAACAUCACAUGUGCUGCCCUAUCCCUCCUUUUCCCCUUCGCGCCCUGCAGGAUGGAGCUAGCCUACUUGGAGGACGGUACGCAGGUCAAGCGGCCCGUGAUCCGGCUGGAUAAGCCGCACCCCGUCAUCUUGACGCGGAUCCGGCCGGACCAGCGGGAGACUAGCAUGAUCCUGCGGCCCCGGCCCUUCUGGGAGGAGCUGCGCGCCGUGCUAGCCGGGGACACAGAAGUGGACCAGAACGGGAAACCCAAGCUCAGGUACGCAGCCCUGGGGACAUCCGGGGACCCUCGACAUGGGAAUAUGUGCAGUCUGUGCAGUGCGCGUGUGCGUACGUACAUGCUCCUUGCGCAUCUUUGCACGGCUAGAGAGGACCAAUCAGCCACGCGACCAACCAGCAGGGGGCUGCUGAGGGGCAUUUUCCCGUCAUGUCGCCCUGUCACUGUGCCGCCCUAGGGCUUCCAGGACGCAAAAGGCACAUGUCUUGUUGACCGCGGUGAACAAUCGACCUGCCCUUUCCCAGGUUCGAUGUGUACGUAUGCACGGCAGCUGAGCGGCAAUACGCUCUGGAGGUGUGGCGGCUACUGGACACGCGAGCCAGCAUCAUCCCCACCAGUGACCGGUCGAAGCGAAUCAUCAAUGUGCCCGGCGGCCGCAAAAAGCAGCUGCUCAAGUGGGUGCUACUGUUUUGUGUGUGUGUGUGUCACGGGUCCCGGUGCGGCACUGCUAAACUGGGGCGGUCUGGCCGGUCGGUCCCAGUAAGUAAUAAGUCCCAGUUCUUUCCGGACCCUUUGGGACUGACACGAUGUGAAUGAAUCUUAGGCUACAACGGAUGAUCCGAAAGGAUUGUCCGGAUACUCCUUGCGGUAGUCGCGCGUGUAAUGGGAUAACACGUAUGAUGACGGGAGGAAAUAGCGUGCGAAGGAGCUGUUUGAUAGCUCUUUUAAUUACGGGGAAAGCUGAUGGGGGGGUGCUGACAAUGCGACCCCUUCCACUUCCCCGGAGGUCCUACUAACUGUAUUGAUGCGCCCGGCUCGGUUGCCGCCUGUCAGGUCGUUGGGGGUUGCUGACAAUGCGGGCAACCCGCGGCUGGAGUGGCCUGAGCUGCAGGAUGACGAGCCGCCUCUGCCACUUGCUGUGGUGCUGGAUGACCGGUUGGACGUGUGGGAGGCGGCGUCCCAGUCGUGCAUCCUGCAGGUAGGGGCUGCUGUCGGGUGGCCUGUUCAAGGUGUGGGCAGGCCUGGUCGUGGCCGGGUGUCCAGGUGGAGGAAAACGUGAUGGAAUGGUCAGCGAUAGGAAAGGGUCAUGAACAGCAAGAAAGCACGAUGGAACCAACAUGUGGCCUGGUGCGACCUGGUGGGGUCGCACGGCGGAACUAAAGUGGGAAGGUAGGGCUAUGGGGGGUUAGGGAAGACCACGAAGCGUUGCUUAGCUUGACCACCGUCUGGGUUGCGAACUGAUUUCUCACACGUGUUGCCACCCCACACGACCCGGCCCGGCGUUUGCGAAGGUCGUCCCCUGGUACUGGUACCGCGACGAGGCGGCGCGCCUAGUGUCGGGUCCUGGCACACCCGCGGAGCGGCUGGCGCUUGCAUCGGAGAACGAGAUCAAGCGCAUGCGCGAUGCUGUACUUCAGCUGCGUGCGGAGCUGUUUUACGACAUAAACGAGCGCCUGCGCAAGCUGGCGGAACAGCUGGUAACGUCCGGGGCGCCGGAAGAGGAUCAGCGGCGGAACCCGGGAGCGCUACUCCCGGGGCUUAAGACGGUCGCGGGCAUCCUGCGGGUGAGAGUGGGACAGAGUGAGGCUGCAACAGGGGGCGGGGCUGGGCUGGGCUGUACAUGACGGUGUCUGUGUGUGUGUGUGUGUGUGUGGUGGCAGUGCAGUGCAGUGCAGUGCAGGGGGGCCGGUGCUGUUGUGGAUGGGGAAUUGGGUUGAUGUGGUGCGGUGAUGUUGCCAUCGGGGCAUUCGCUCUGCCUUGGCGGCCUAGCCAGGUGGGGGGUUCAGUGGCGUCACGCGAGAAAUAUCUCGCAGAGUUGCUUAGAUACCAUUAAACCAUCGCCCUACCCCUGCUGCAACGGCUCUGCCUCUUCCCAGGCUGCUGCUAGUCGCGUCUACCAGAUGCCCACCCUCGCGUCCAUUGCGGCGCAGUUCCGCCCCAGCAGCCUCACGCCGCCCCCGGAAAUGGAAUCUCUCGGAAUGCCGCCACCACCGGGGGGGUUUCUCCCUGAGGUGGUCUUCCCGCCCGGCACCCAGGGGCCGCUGGUAGCUGGGGGGGCCCUGGCGGCUGCGGCGCCUUUGGCCGUGCAGCCCGCAGCUGCUGCACCCACAGGCGCUGGGCCCGAUGGCUUGAUGCUUAACGGCCUUAGCACCCCUGCAGCGGCUGCCGGCGUGCCUGCUCAGCCGGGACCGGGGCAAGGGCAAGGACCGGCUCUACCGCAAGUCAUCUCUCUCAAGCCUGUGGAUCCUCGCGCGGCACGAAGGGUACGCAGGAGGAGGACGUUCUGAUCCCUGGAUUCGUGAUACCGACAUGCCUUGUUCCUGUCACUACCCAGGGAAUAACACGCGACUGUCAUCAUGCCGUGGGCCCUCCCGGCCUGCCUUGCCUUUAUCAGGGCUUCCAGCACCGGUUUCAGCAAUCCUAUUCGCUAUCGGGAGGACCCCAGUGCCCCAGCGGAAAUUGCGAUGCGUUGAUGUCGCGGACUCCCCGGUAAAGCUCAUUACGAGAGCUCAUGAAACUGUUACGGGCCUUUGUUUGGGGAAACGGAGUGCAGGCAGUGUCAUCUGGCGUAGGCAGACUGGAACACUCAUAUAACCAGUUCAGUAAUACGUUUAAAUAUGUUUACAAUAAAAAAACAACCGCAAUCCAGCGUUGCUGUGGUGUUUCGUCUCAGUACUGCAUUUUUCCCGGUCUGUUGCAGGCAGCUGCGGCGGCUCAGCGCGCCAGCGCCACCCAACGUUCCGCCGGCGGCAUCGUGCUGCAGCCGCCAGCUCCCGGGAUGGGGCCCCAGCCCAUCACCGCCUUCGGCGCCCUGACAUCUCUUGGGCCGCCUGCAGCUCCCCAGCCGGCGGCAGAGCCGCUUAAGCGGCGCAUCGCGCCGGGCGCGUUGGAUCCCAGUAAAUGGAGCAUUGAAGCGUUGGAUGCCGGAGGUCCCGAGCAGCAGCAGCAGCCUGAACCUCCAGCAUCGGGUGCGACCGCCGGCCCUGGCUCCGCCCCUGGAGAUGCUGCUGCAGUCUCCGGUGACCCGCGACAAGCCUCAGCUGGUGCUCGCGUUGAAGAGGGCCGCGGGGCGGUCACCUUGGAUGGUGGGACAGAACUGAGCGGCGGCGGCUCGGGGGGAGCUCAGCCGCAGCAGCAAGCGGACUCGUUAGAUAAUGCAGCGAAACCUGGGCCGGGAUCAGUCCAGGCGCAGCAGGCACAGCAGGAGGUCCAGGGGAGCCAGGCGACCUCGACCUCCGAUGCGCAGCAGCAGCAGAAACCGAUUUCCCAGGCUGGCUCAGGGCCUGCUAGUACGGCAGGAGGUGCAAGUGUGGGCGGGGCCGGUGCUGGGCCGGCGGGUGCACGUAAACAAGCUGACGACGCGUUGUUAGCGGCGCUUCGCAGCCAGAUCCAAGGCUUUGACCCGUCACUGCAGGCAGUGAUUGCGGAGUUGCUACGGAACCCGGAGAUGCUUAGAAAUCCGGAGACCCUGCGGCUGCUGCAGCAGCAGUCCAAAGCACAGGCACAGAAGAACUUGCAACAACAACAACAUCAACAGCAACAGCAAGCGUCGCACGCGACCCAGGCAUCUAAGCAGGCGCAGCCGGGGCCAGGGCCCAACACGAGCAGCGGGGGUCAAGCUCCGGCUGCGGCGGGGUCCGCGGCCACAGCUGCUGCUGAAGUCGGUCCCCAACCGCCCCAGCAGACGUUGCCGCCGCCGCCACCGCAGCCGCCACAGCAACAGCAGCCCGGACUGCAGCCUGCAAGCGGGCAACGACAUGCAACUCCGCCCCUGCAGCAGGCUUCGCAACAGCAGCAGAACCCACCCGUGACGUUACAACAGCCUCCACAGCAGCAGCAAGGGCAGCUUCCAGCGCAGCAGCUGCCGCUGCAGCAGAAGCACCAGCCCUCCCAGCAGCAACCGCCGCCGCAGCAUCGUCCGCCACCUCCUCAGCAUUUUCCGCAGCCGGGCCCGCCGCAACAAACACCGCCAGGGCCGCAAGGGCCGUCCCAGUAUCCACCACCGCCAUCCUCGCAACCCCAGCCCCCGGCUCUGCACCAGCCACCGUCGGCACAGCAGACGGGGGCGGCAGCUCCCCAGCAGCAAGCGCCUGGCACAUCGGCAGCUGUAAAAGAACAACAACAACAACAACAACAACAACCACAGCAACGACAACAACAGCAACAACAACCACAGCAACGACAACAACAGCAACAACAACCACAGCAACGACAACAACAGCAACAACAACCACAACAACAAGAACCACAGCAACAACAACAACAACCACAACAACAACCACAACAACAACCACCACAACAACAAUCACAACAACAAUCACAACAACAACAAUCACAGCAACCUGGGUUGCAAUUCCCACCACCGCCGCCGCAGGGUCCUCCAAACCAGCAGCCACCCCGUCACCACGCACAGCAGCCCCAGCAGCGACACCAACACCAGCCUCAACCUCCCCCAGGGGCACCGCCGGCCCGGCCUCUGCCACACCCUCCGCCAGUCAGAUCGUCUACUCCGCCGUUGCUGGGGCAGGGCCAGGGUCAAGGUGGGCCCCCAGGGCCUCCGCCUCAUCACGGGGGAGGGCCAUCACAGGGCUUGUCGAACGGGCCGGGCCCUUCUGGUCCGCCACCGCAGGGCCAGCCCGGACUGCCGCCUCCCCCGGGGCCGCCGCCCCUAGGGGCCCCACCGCAGGCGCCACACCAGGUUUCCCAGCCCCAGCAGGGCCAGCCGGGUCCCCUGCAGGCUGUACAGAUGCAGGUGAUGGUGGGUCCCGACGGGCGGAUCAUCCUACAGCCACCGCCCGCUCAACAGGGACCCGGUAGCGGACCGCAUACGGGCGGGCCGCAGGCACUGCCAGGCCCAGGCCAACAAAUGCAGGGUCCUCCUUUGGGGUCGGGGCAGAUGGGUCCCGGUGCAUCUGGGUUUAUGGGCCCCGGGCCCAUGCAGCUGCAAGGCCCGGGCAUCAUGGGCAACAAGGGCGGUAUGCCAGCGCCACCACCACAGCAGCAACAGGGACAGCAACCCGCGGGCCAACCCAUGCAGAUGCCCAUGCCGCUACCUGGCGGCGGCUUGACUGGCGCACUUGUAGGCCCUGGUGCUAUGGGUCCCGCAGGCAUGGUAGCAAACGCGCCACCGCGCGACGUGCUGAUGCAGCAGAUGCUAAUUGGCGAGAUGAUGAACUUGGACAUGCAGAUGGCAGCGAUGAGCGGGAUGAUGGUACCUAUGGGCGGGAUGGGGGGUCCAGGAGGCGGAGGAAUGAUGGGCCCGGGUAUGGGUGCCCCUGGGCCCGGGCAUCAGGGCAGCGGGCAGCCGAUGUUGGGGAUGGCCAUGAUGGGUCCUGGGGGCCCUCAGGGCGGCCCCAUGCAGCAGCAGAUGGGCCCCAUGGGGCCGCUGCAGCCGAACGGGCCGCAGGGGAUGCCCCUGGUGAUGAUGAUGAUGCCACCGCAGGGACCUGGGGCCGGGAUGCCGGUCGCCAUGCAAUUUCCUCAGGGCGCGGGACCUGUGCAAAUGCAGAUACCCGGGAUGCCGCAGCAGCAGCCCCAACAGCAGAUGCAGCAACAGCAGCCGCAACAGGGCCCGAUGCCGCAUGGGAUGAACAUGGGAAUGCCCCCCCAGCCGCAGCAGCCGCAGCAGAUGGGACAUCCCAUGGGGCCCCAUGGCGGAAUGGGCGGAAUGCCGCAAGGGGCUCCUGUGAACGGCCCAUUCGGCGGACCGCAGAUGCUUCAGCCGGGGCAAAUGCAACCCCAACAACAACAGCAGGGACAACUGCAGGGACCGCAGGGACAAAUGCCGCCCCCGCAGCAGCCACAACAGCAAGGGAUGUCUACACAAGGGAUGCAGUUUGCAGGCGCGCAGCAACCGAUGCACUUCAUGGGCGGGCCAGUUCAGGGGCAGGGCAUGCAGGGUCACGGCAUGACGUCGGGGCAACCUCCGAUGGGCAUGAUGUCCGGCGGCCCUGUGAUGCAUGCCGGCAUGAAGCGCCCGCCGUCGCCCUCAAAUCUUGCCCCUGGGGAGCCGCCCAGCAAGGCGCCUCGGCAAGGUGGUGGCAGCAUCCUGGAAAAUGGCACUCCGAGUGGCGGCCUGCCCGGCGGCUUGCCGCCCUGGCAAGCCUCGAUCCAGCCACAACAGCAGCAACAUCAAGGCGGAGGUCCCCCGGCUGGUAGCGCAGCCCAGCCGCCUGGUCCGCCGCCCUUCGCGCCGCAAGAUAGCGCCACCGGCAGCGACUCCUCCGGCGUAAUGGUGCCCCUGGAGAACCCUGUGACCAAGCUAAACGAGAUUGCGCAGCGCAAUAAGGUGCGCUUGGCGUUUCGGGAAGCCAAGGACGGCGAGAGCGGGAGCGUGGGCUGGACAAUAACUGCCAUCUACGGCGGCAAGGUGAGCGGUUGUCUGUGACCUUGGAUUCGACGCGCGUGAAAGCACAUCUUAAGCCACUUGGGCUGGUUGCAUUCGUGCACCGUACAAAAGGUAAUAAAUGAUACGGUGUAUCCGCCCGCCUACGUGCCGCGGAGUAGUGUCAUGACCGGUCGGCCCAUUACAUGGCGUGCUGUUUCCCGGGUUAAGACUUGCACUUGCGCUUGCCUGCUUCAGCUGACCUUGCAAGGCUCCGGAACCAUUGCAUGGGGCCGCUGGUACACCAGAUCCUAGUGCUUCCUGGCCAUGGGAGCCAUGACAGCGCGACAGGCACAUGAACUCGAGCGCAUUACCGUCUCGAACUCAGAGGUCAAUGUUGUGUGCAGCUUCGAUGCUACGGUCGGCUACCUGUCCCGCUCACUCCCCCUCUUCGAACUCGGGUCUGCAGGACAUUGGCCGGGGACAUGCAGCCACGAAGAAGGACGCCAAGCGAUUGGCGGCCAUGGAUGGCUUGAAGGCCCUGGGCAUCAGCCUCGCCGUAGGGCCACCGGCGGGCAGCCGCAACCUGGCAGGGCCGCAGCCGCAGCAGCAGACCACCUCCGCGUCUUCCCACCCCAACCAGAGCUCUGGAGGGUCGGGGGCGUUCAUUGGCCCGGUGCCGCCGCCACCGCCGCCCACGGAGGCCGCUUCGGAGGUUGUGAGCUCCAGUGCGGCCGGGGGUGCGGGGCCGGGACAUGGACCGGGUACGGGUACGGGGGGCCACCCCGCCAAUGACGCCACGAUGUACCGCCUCAUCAGCAUGUUUGGCAAAGACAACUUGCUCUUUGCAAACAUGGAGGACGAGGGGUACCCGCCGGCAAGGUGAGAUGUCCCUCGGGAACGGGCAGGAGGGGAGGGGAGGAGAGGGUCGUGGGGAAAUGCACUGCUAUCCAUGGUUUCCCUGACGCCGUUCGUCUCCCGCCAGCGAGCUGAAGGUGUCAGCCGGUGGUGUGUUCAUGCCUUCACCUCUCGAGUGCACUCCCUUCGCCUCCUGGCCUCUCUCGUCGCACGACCCCUUGCGUCCCGCACGGGGGGCCGUAACGGCCCAUCCUAACUUGCAUUCGGCACUCAACACGAGCUCCCUUCCCUUCUCCGCUUCUCUUCUCUUCACCUCUGUGUAGGUACGCAAAGGUGGAGUUGACCAUCCGCAACACGCAGCACCGCGUCCAGGGAGAAGGCCAAAGCCGCCGUGCAGCCCGACUGGAUGCAGCUGCCCGCAUGCUGGCGCACCUGGGGGUGCCCGCACCCGGUCUGGCCACCUCGUCAGCGCAGCGUGAGGCGGGCAACGUGUAUAGCCGCGGGGGGGGGAGUGGUCAGGAUAGCGACAGUGACGGCGGCGCGGCAGGACCCUCUGGCAACGGUCGUGCAUCGCACCACCACCAUCACCACCAUCAUCAUCACCAGUCACAGCAGCGCGGCCAACAGUUGCAGCAGCAGCAGCAGCCGCGCGCCAGCUCGCGAAGCCCCCGUCCAAGCGAGGACGAGGGCGAUGAGGCGGACGAGGACUACGACGUGCUGGCCGGCGCAUCGUACUAUACCCGCGGCACACGGCCUGGCAGCAAGACUGCUAAACGUGCUGCACAGCCGGAUGACCUCGGAGGCGGAGGCAGCAGCAAGGCUUACGUGGCGGACUUCAUGCAGCUCAUAGCUGAGGAGCUUGACGACGGGCUGGGAGGAGGGGGAGGAGGGGGCGGGGCCCCGAUACCCGGGCACGCAGGCAGCGGGGCAGCUGGGGGGAAACGGGCGGCCAGCCGGGGCAUGGAACCGAAACAGCCGCAGUCCAACCAGCAGGCCGGGGAUGACUCGUCUGAGGAGGAGGAAGGGGAAUUGCCCAGCGAAGAAGAGGGGGGCUAGGCGAGUGCUGCUAGCAAGAGGGGGGCUUGGCUUGGUUCAUAAUGAAGGAUGCUGUAGACGGAACAGGUAAAAUUAGUGAGAGAGGGCUAUGCGGCCCGUACGCUGUGUGCCAUAGAGCACAGCGCCGCCCCCCCACCCCCCCAUGAGUGGUCUAGGCAGGCAGGCAGGCAGGCAUAGGUCAACGGCUCUGGGGUAUGGAUGCUGAAACGCUGGGGUUGCAGUUGGACCCUGCCCUACAGGUCGUGCGGUGUUUGGUGGGUGCUGAGGAUGCAGCUCGUUAGGAAUAAUGGCUCAAGAUGAUUGGUGGCGUUGUUAGGGCUACCGCUGAGCGCUGUGAUAGCUGGGAUAGCGAGCCGAGCGUGUUUAAAUUUGUGCGCUGUUUGUCGGUCUGUGCGAGUUGCGUAGUGAUGGUCAUUGGUCAUUGUGUGAAGCAGGCUCUAGGACACGGCAGGCAUUAGAGCACUGAGGCAAGUUCCCAUCCUACCUCCUACAGCCGCUUGACAAUGCGUGGAGGCCUCGCGCAGCGAGAGAAGUGCCAGUGCAGUAAGUCGGUCCAGACAUAGACAGACAGACAGACAGACAGACAGACACCGACAGACAGACGAGCAGGCAGUGGUAGGGAUUGCUUAGUGUAUGACUGACUUGCAGGAAGGACCCAUGGGCCCAUGGCCAAUGGUUUUAGAUGAGCGGCCGCAUGGGCCCGCGCUUUGCUACACGACCUGACCUGCACGCACGCCGUACGGUACGACUUGUGCGCAUUCGCCGCGCUGUGGUGCAUCAUGGUCCCGUCCUUUUUUUUGCUCGGACAUGGUUGGCGUGACACGUGCGUGCAUGCUGCUUCCUGCCCUUUUGGGCCUGGGGCGCUUCACACGGAUACACACGGGGUGCCAGACAUUAUGAAUGUGGUUGAAUGCUGCAAGGUUACGCUUUUUCAUAUUUAUAUUAGCCGUAAGGGGGUGCAGGUUCCAGCAGGUGCUUGAAUAGGCUGAAUGACACAAGGCCUGAAGUGGCAUACGCACUGGUGCGCCCAGAAUUUUGGGUCACAGUGGUAGUGUGACCUCGCCCACGAUCUAAAGCGUUGUUAGGGGAGGGGGCACAUCAUCUGGGUGCAGGUCCAAGAUACAUCGAAAACAUCUCAAUUGCGCUCGAGUUAUACGGUUUAUCACAGGAGCGCUUUGGUAUGCCUUUUACAAUCU